This is an RNA transcript of Solanum tuberosum (potato), 2087 nucleotides long. RefSeq lists it as uncharacterized. The transcript has 4 exons. NCBI's taxonomy places the organism in Eukaryota, Viridiplantae, Streptophyta, Magnoliopsida, Solanales, Solanaceae. The record is from RefSeq and is a predicted model, not a curated record.
AGUUGCAACUACUCUCCUCCAAAAUCACACUUCUCUAGAGAGUUUAGUCGGAGUUUCUGUUAUAUUUCUUUCCGCUUUUUUCUUUAGAGAUCGGAUAACACAAUUGCAGAAAUGUAUCAUGAUGAAAUCGGUCAGGAUGAUUUGUCUAGAAAAAAAUCCAAACAGUAUCAUCGAAAUGAUGAUGAAUCGAAGGAAGGCAAACUUCUUCGAGGGAUAUUGAACAAUUUAGAAUUUAAACUCAAUUUACUUAAAUCCAGAUGUACAACAAAGUUUGAUCCAACCGUUUUUGGUGUUGCUGAAAGUAUGAAGAAGAACCUGGGCGAGAUUCUGAAAAUGAAGGAUACACAUGAGCGAUAUGAAGAUAAAAUAUUUUCAGAGGAGAAUAGGGAGACAAUGACUGAUGCUGAAAUUCAGAAAGAUGAUGUGCGGAAAAUUGAUGUUAUUCAAAGAGUAUAAACUGCAGUUGAACAGUGCUGAAGAGUUGAAUAAAGGCAAAGUGGAAGUUGAUGUUGUUGCUGAUCAGAAGGGGGCAGAGGAGAGAAGAACUACACUGAUUAGUACAUGGAUUUAAUUAUUCAAAUCAUUAUUUCAUUUAGUUGGACCUGCAUAUUUCAGAUUUAAUUAUUAUCAUUUUUUCUAGCAAAAUGAUUGUAUCGAUCAUAUUACCUGAUUUGACGAGACAAUCCAUUUUAAUCUAGAGUGCUUAUUUAUCCAAAAUUGCAUUUGAAGCAUCACUUACAGCUAAUCAAAUUAACCAAAUAUAUAGAUGCAGAAGAGGGUAAGAAAUGAGAGUAAUCUGAACUACAUGUGAGCAGGUUUACCGUGACAGAAAGCUUAUUCAUGGUGAACCAACCUUAUAGCAAGAAGCAUUCUCUAGUUCACUUUCUGCGCUCAAGAUUCAGCAGCAAACUAUCCGAGGGAAAUGACUGUCAACUUGUUGUCUGUUUGAUCAAUUAAGCACUUUCCUUAGAUCAUUGAUCCAAUUUCUGCUAAGUGCUUAAUCAUACAUCCGAUUUCAGUCAUUGAGUCGAGCUCUGAAAUCUUUUCAUUUUUCACUAAUGUGUAGUUUUUAUCUUUCUUAUCUUCCGUUAUAAGAGCUGACAUCCAUUUGUGGAAAUAAAUUCAUAAAGCUUAUUACUGAAGUUGAGUUAUACUCUUCUCUAACUCCAAACAGUUGCUUUCAUUGACAACAUAAGCGUGUUUCACCUCUUUUUUGACUUGCAGAACAAACCUGAUUUUUCUGUCCAAGUCCAAGGACCAUGUUUGUAAUGGACAGUAAGUUUCGGAAGUUAAGAGUCAGAUGCACAAUUUGAAAAAUGAUCCUACAGAUGUAUCAAUUAGUUUUUGUCCUGAAUCAACUCGCGACGCAUCAACCCCAACUCUUGCGUUUUUUGUUGCAUUAGAUAUCAAAUUCAGCCUAAAUUUUCUUGAUUGCACCUUAUUAAUAGCAGCAUGUUGGUUAUUGCUAUCACCUGUAGCAUCUACAUUUUUUUGUUGUAAUAUCUCUACAGAUUAAGGACUUCGAGCUAAUUCUGGAUCAUUUGAAAUCUCUAAAAUACCUUUGUUUUCAAUAGUUGUUUGAUGACCAAUAUUACCUGUAUCAACAUCCAUUGAGUCUGUACGACUUUGCUCAGAAAUGUCAGCAGCCAAUUGUCAAUCUAAAAUAGUAGUUUUACUUUGAUCGACAUCUACAAUUAUAGUCGUCGCAUUGAUCGAUGAUUAUAAUCGAAAUGACGAAGAAUCGAAGGAAUUCAAGCUUCUUCAAGGCAUAUUGAACAAUUUGGAUGGCAACCUCAAUUCUCUUAAAGGAAAAUGUACAAAAAAGCCUGAUGUUGCUGCUGACCGCAAAGGGGGCAGAGGAGAGAACUACACUGAUUAGUACAUGGGGAGCAACUUUGGGGAGGAGAGAAAGAAGUGAGGCUUAGAAGGAUCUUGAUUCACAUCCCAUUUACAAAUUGUCUGUAAUAAAAAUAAAGUAGAGAAUAUUAGCUGAUGUUGAGGUUACAAACUAUUCCUUUUGGCGUUAAAUUUGUUCUUGCGGUCUAGUGAAAAAAAGGUGCAAAAAGUUUGUAAACAGUUCAUUGAAC